ACACAUGCAGUCGAGCGGUAGCACGGAGAAACUUGUUUCUUGGGUGACGAGCGGCGGACGGGUGAGUAACGCGUAGGAAUCUACCUAGUAGAGGGGGACAACAUGUGGAAACGCAUGCUAAUACCGCAUACGCCCUAAGGGGGAAAGGAGGGGACUUUUCGGAGCCUUCCGCUAUUAGAUGAGCCUGCGUGAGAUUAGCUAGUUGGUAGGGUAAAGGCCUACCAAGGCGACGAUCUCUAACUGGUCUGAGAGGAUGACCAGUCACACUGGGACUGAGACACGGCCCAGACUCCUACGGGAGGCAGCAGUGGGGAAUAUUGGACAAUGGGCGCAAGCCUGAUCCAGCCAUGCCGCGUGUGUGAAGAAGGCCUUAGGGUAGUAAAGCACUUUCAGGGGUGAGGAAGGGUGAUUGGUUAAUACCCAAUUAUCUUGACGUUAGCCCCAGAAGAAGCACCGGCUAACUCUGUGCCAGCAGCCGCGGUAAUACAGAGGGUGCAAGCGUUAAUCGGAAUUACUGGGCGUAAAGCGCGCGUAGGUGGUUUGUUAAGUCGGAUGUGAAAUCCCAGGGCUCAACCUUGGAAUGGCACCCGAUACUGGCAGGCUAGAGUAUGGUAGAGGGGUGUGGAAUUUCCUGUGUAGCGGUGAAAUGCGUAGAUAUAGGAAGGAACAUCAGUGGC
Molecule: ribosomal RNA, 677 nt
Filed under: uncultured bacterium
Lineage: Bacteria
Description: bacterial SSU rRNA
Rfam family: Bacterial small subunit ribosomal RNA
Source: RNAcentral